AUUGAACGCUGGCGGCAAGCCUAACACAUGCAAGUCGAACGAGUGGCGGACGGGUGAGUAAUGUCUGGGAAACUGGCUGAUGGAGGGGGAUAAAUACUGGAAACGGUAGCUAAUACCGCAUACCAUCGGAUGUGCCAAGAUGGGAUUGGCUAGUAGGUGGGGUAAAGGCUCACCUGGGCGACGAUCCCUAGCUGGUCUGAGGGGAUGACCAGCCACACUGGAACUGAGACACGGUCCAGACCCCUACGGGAGGCAGCAGUGGGGAAUAGUGCACAAUGGGCGCAAGCCUGAUGCAGCCAUGCCGCGUGUAUGAAGAAGGCCUUCGGUUUGUAAAGUACUUUCAGCGGGGAGGCGUUACCCGCAGAAGAAGCACCGGCUAACUCCGUGCCAGCAGCCGCGGUAAUUC
This 406-nucleotide ribosomal RNA is filed under the name uncultured bacterium. Its description in RNAcentral is "partial 16S ribosomal RNA". It matches the Rfam family "Bacterial small subunit ribosomal RNA", at positions 30 to 526 of the family's 1533-position model. The record is from RNAcentral.